GAUUAAGAGUAUCCAUGUGCUUCAAUGUGUGAGCAGACCUUAGAUGAAGAGUUGCUUCACUAAGAGAGUUUAUUAGCAUGGGUUUAGGUUCAUUGUCCUUCAGUUCUUGAAUGCGUUCAGGAUCUUCAAACUUCUUAGGUCUUCUUGAACUUUCCCAAUUCUCUGCAUUAAUCAAGAGAUAAGACUUCUGGUCAAUCAACAGCUGAAUAUUCUCUUAAAAUACGUUCAGGAUCUUCAAAUUUCUUAGGUCUUUUUGAACUUUCCCAAUUUUCUGCGUUAACCAAAAGAUAAGAUUUCUGGUCAAUCAACAGUUGAAGAUUCUCCGCAGCCUCAUGAACUUCUUCGAGAGGGUCUCCAGGGAAUAGUUUCUCCAUCUUUUCUACUUU
RNAcentral lists this long non-coding RNA (386 nucleotides) under Nicotiana benthamiana. Its description in RNAcentral is "long non-coding RNA (NBEN_LNC018351)". The record is from RNAcentral. Lineage: Eukaryota; Viridiplantae; Streptophyta; Magnoliopsida; Solanales; Solanaceae.